This 72-nucleotide transfer RNA is filed under the name Globisporangium ultimum DAOM BR144. Its description in RNAcentral is "Pythium ultimum DAOM BR144 tRNA". It matches the Rfam family "tRNA". Rfam says of the family: Transfer RNA (tRNA) molecules are approximately 80 nucleotides in length. Their secondary structure includes four short double-helical elements and three loops (D, anti-codon, and T loops). Further hydrogen bonds mediate the characteristic L-shaped molecular structure. tRNAs have two regions of fundamental functional importance: the anti-codon, which is responsible for specific mRNA codon recognition, and the 3' end, to which the tRNAs corresponding amino acid is attached (by aminoacyl-tRNA synthetases). tRNAs cope with the degeneracy of the genetic code in two manners: having more than one tRNA (with a specific anti-codon) for a particular amino acid; and 'wobble' base-pairing, i.e. permitting non-standard base-pairing at the 3rd anti-codon position. The record is from Rfam by way of RNAcentral. Lineage: Eukaryota; Oomycota; Peronosporomycetes; Pythiales; Pythiaceae.
GGGGGUAUAUUUCAAGAGGGAGAAAGAUGUUUUGCAAAUAUAAGGUUAUCGGUUCGAAUCCGAUUAUCUCCA